GUCCUCAAAGAAAGGACACCGAGCAGAGGAGCGUCUUCGAUCGCCUCGGCGAAAGAGUGCUCAUGACACCGACACAUUAUUGUACUAAGUCCGGUGAAUCCCCGUCACGAGCUGACGAGUAUUCAAUCCAUUCGUAAGAGAAGAAUCCGGUUCGCCCCGGCAACCCGAGGCUCCUUGACUGCUUCCCGGCUGGGAGCUAAGGGGCUGGGGUCGGGCGAGCGGCCGAUCUAACCGCCGCACAACUAUAGCGGGGCGUGCAAGCACGGGACCCGCUGAACUCCUCCCCUGGUCGGCAACUGAAGCGUCCUGCCGACCAGGGACCUGCGUCAAGGGCGCAGGGCAUGGGGGCGCCAUCGGGGCUCUGAAGCCCGAGCCCCCCGGAGCCCGCGCCCUCUCUCCGAUCAGCCUCAGGGCGCG
This 417-nucleotide long non-coding RNA is filed under the name Phoenix dactylifera (date palm). RNAcentral's name for it is "long non-coding RNA (PDAC_LNC014929)". The record is from RNAcentral. Lineage: Eukaryota; Viridiplantae; Streptophyta; Magnoliopsida; Arecales; Arecaceae.